RNAcentral lists this ribosomal RNA (424 nucleotides) under Verrucomicrobiota bacterium. Its description in RNAcentral is "Verrucomicrobia bacterium partial 16S ribosomal RNA". It matches the Rfam family "Bacterial small subunit ribosomal RNA", at positions 355 to 776 of the family's 1533-position model. Lineage: Bacteria; Pseudomonadati; Verrucomicrobiota. The record is from RNAcentral.
UGAGGAAUAUUGGUCAAUGGGCGAGAGCCUGAACCAGCCAAGUAGCGUGCAGGAUGACGGCCCUAUGGGUUGUAAACUGCUUUUAUAUGGGAAUAAAGUGAGGGACGUGUCCCUUAUUGCAUGUACCAUACGAAUAAGGACCGGCUAAUUCCGUGCCAGCAGCCGCGGUAAUACGUAUGUUGCGAGCGUUAUCCGGAAUUAUUGGGCUUAAAGGGCAUCUAGGCGGUAAGACAAGUUGAAGGUGAAAACCUGUGGCUCAACCAUAGGCUUGCCUACAAAACUGUUGAACUAGAGUACUGGAAAGGUGGGUGGAACUACACGAGUAGAGGUGAAAUUCGUAGAUAUGUGUAGGAAUGCCGAUGAUGAAGAUAACUCACUGGACAGAAACUGACGCUGAAGUGCGAAAGCUAGGGGAGCAAACAGG